UGGAGCUGAAAAGUACAAUAACUGGAAUUAAAACUUUACUACUUGGUGAUAGGAAUCUCAACUGAGAUUAUGCCAUCUGAGAAAAUUCUAACAAACCUGUUGGCCACUGCCAGUUAUGCCAACAUAUGCACAAUAGGAAUCCCACAAGGAGAAGACCAAGAGAAAGGCAAAAAGAAUAAUUGAAUAAAUGAAAGCAAAUAAUAAUAAUAAUAGGCAAAGCCCCCCUCCCUGCCCCAAAUCUCUUUACAUCAAAAAAAUUUUUUUCAUUAAAUGCCCUUUGUUACUUAACGAGAUUCACUGUCACUGUUUCCCCACAGUGUGGAAAAUACGGCUGUGAAGAAGUCAACAAAGAAUUCUUGCUUUGUAAAACUACAUUGGAACCUAAGCCUUUUCUUCUAGAAAUAGGUGUAAAAUCACUGCCAAGUGCUCAUUAAGCUCUUUCCUUUUGGCAUCACCCUCUGUUCUAGCUGACAGGAAAGACCUCUGUCAUGCCCCAAACUGGUGUGGAAAAAAAAAAAAACAAACCACCAGGAGGAUGCAGCUCCCAGAGCGAGUGUUCUUCACUCAUCACCAAAGGAGAUGACCGCCCAAAAGGCAGAAACCACCCGGGGGCUGUCAUCGCUCCGUGACACCAAAACAACGGGCUGGAAAGGUCAGUCUAAGGACUUCUUCUGACCUCAUGAAACCCGGGGGAUGUUGCAUCUCGCUGACUUUUUCUUUUCUUCUCUGAAUUGACAGAGCUGGUUGGCAUGUGGUAUCAUGUGGCUGGAGCCACAGGGUGUAUUGCUGGAGCGCCUCAGAUGGUGGGUCAGCUGAGAAGCAGUGAUGCCUGCCCAGCUGCAGAGAGACAUGGCAUCUGUUGGAGAGUCUGGAGACACAGGAGAGAUCCCAGGAACCCUGAAGGACAUUCUGGAAGCAACAGCUAUUGACAGCUACAGUUGCUAUAACUGAAGCUACUGCUACUGAUCACGUUGCCACCAGAGGAGUUGCCUCAGAAAGACGUGGAAAACCACUGGGGACCAGGGAAGAAAUGGUUGAGACACGCUUUCCUUGGGAGAGCCUUGCCAAGGGCCACCGUGGGUCCCACAUUGGGAGCUACACACCCAU
Molecule: long non-coding RNA, 1107 nt
Filed under: Canis lupus familiaris (dog)
Lineage: Eukaryota; Metazoa; Chordata; Mammalia; Carnivora; Canidae
Description: lncRNA (ENSCAFG00040003250.1)
Source: RNAcentral